Non-coding RNA from Podarcis lilfordi (Lilford's wall lizard), 72 nucleotides. The record is from the annotation of a GenBank genome assembly. Lineage: Eukaryota; Metazoa; Chordata; Lepidosauria; Squamata; Lacertidae.
GCUGUAGCUCAGGGGCAGAGCAUCUGCUUUGCACGCAGAAGGUCCCUGGUUCAAUCCCCAAGGGCAUCUCCA